GGGGAUGAGUUUGGGCUUGACGGCACCUUGAGGGCGGGUAGGGUUUCACCGAAGUGCCGACUAUGUCGGUGCGGGUGGCUCCCGCCUGAAAAGGGAGAAAAUGUUGCCACCGCAGCAGCUAAUGUUCUCCCCGCUUAAAAAAGGGGAGAUGUUCUCGGGGUAGUUGCUCCUGCUCCCCGGGGGCAUGAUUGAAGGAGCUUUAAGCACUGCCUCCGCCCACGGGGUGGUGCUUGAAAAUAAUAGUGGGCGAGGAAAAGCUAUAUCCAGCGGAGGGGAUAGGCUUUUCCUAAAAAAUUGCCUCCGCUACGCGGUGUAAAGGCUCUACUCCGCCCGGUGUCGGACGGGGGUUCGAAUCCCCCCAUCUCCACCA
RNAcentral lists this transfer-messenger RNA (370 nucleotides) under Candidatus Calescibacterium nevadense. Its description in RNAcentral is "Calescibacterium nevadense Standard tmRNA". It matches the Rfam family "transfer-messenger RNA". From Rfam's summary of the family: Bacterial tmRNA, also known as 10Sa RNA or SsrA, is named for its dual tRNA and mRNA-like properties. Its role is to liberate the mRNA from a stalled ribosome. The record is from RNAcentral. RNAcentral also lists the same sequence under 1 other name. Lineage: Bacteria; Candidatus Calescibacteriota; Candidatus Calescibacteriales; Candidatus Calescibacteriaceae.